Molecule: ribosomal RNA, 421 nt
Filed under: uncultured bacterium
Lineage: Bacteria
Description: bacterial SSU rRNA
Rfam family: Bacterial small subunit ribosomal RNA
Source: RNAcentral
CAGGAAAGACAUCACUCACAGAAGAAGCACCGGCUAACUCCGUGCCAGCAGCCGCGGUAAUACGGAGGGUGCAAGCGUUAAUCGGAAUUACUGGGCGUAAAGCGCGCGUAGGUGGCUUGAUAAGCCGGUUGUGAAAGCCCCGGGCUCAACCUGGGAACGGCAUCCGGAACUGUCAAGCUAGAGUGCAGGAGAGGAAGGUAGAAUUCCCGGUGUAGCGGUGAAAUGCGUAGAGAUCGGGAGGAAUACCAGUGGCGAAGGCGGCCUUCUGGACUGACACUGACACUGAGGUGCGAAAGCGUGGGUAGCAAACAGGAUUAGAUACCCUGGUAGUCCACGCCGUAAACGAUGUCGACCAGCCGUUGGGUGCCUAGCGCACUUUGUGGCGAAGUUAACGCGAUAAGUCGACCGCCUGGGGAGACGG